AAAUUUCAGCGGCUUCAGGACAGCCAAGCUCUCCGUCUUCAAGUUCCCUGCGACGCAGAUCCUCAGCUCGUUUCAGCGGCAAGUCGCGUCCUAGACCUGCUAGAGCGCCCUCUGCAGUUCCGUGUUCUUGGGUUCUUCUCCCUCAGUCGCUCUACUGCAGCGUCGAUAGGUGGUCUUAUCAUGUCCUAUUUGGUGGUCGUCCUGCAGUUCCGCUGAAGGUGUGACGUCAGAGGUCAAGGCAGGUCAACAGCGUCUCGGAUUUGGUUUUGGAAUCACG
Molecule: long non-coding RNA, 277 nt
Organism: Penaeus monodon (black tiger shrimp)
Lineage: Eukaryota; Metazoa; Arthropoda; Malacostraca; Decapoda; Penaeidae
Exons: 3
Source: RefSeq, a predicted model, not a curated record